GCUCUCUCCUCUCGGUUGUGUAGGCUGUAGCUCGCUGAUGGAGCUCUCUCCUCCACCAAAUCUCUUAAUUCCUAGGAUUAGAAGUCCACAACACGUAGUAAGAUUGUGGGAUCUGAAUCUGAAUCAGAGUCCAAGGAGGUGGAGGCGGAGGCGGAGACAGAGAUGGAUGGAAGUUCCAAGAGCAACGAGUGCACUGGAACAUGCCGGGGGGAAGAUGGUGGUGGAGCUGGUGGGAGUGUUCAACCAGCUGACGGAGAGGAUGAAUGUGUUGUCAACGAGUUCUUCGCGGAUACUCUUCAAGGCUCUGAAGCUGUGCAUUCCAAUACUGCAGAACUUACCUCUCGCCCCUGAUGGCCGGCCUCCUCUCUCCAAGGCUUUGUCUGUGGCUCUUGUUCUAGCCGAUCUUCAGAUGGAUGCAGAAGUUAUUUCGGCCAGUAUAUUGACACAAGUUUUUGAGGCCGGUGCAAUAACCAUACAUGAAGUCAGAUAUCGCAUAGGUACUGGUACUGCUCAUCUACUGCACGAAAGUUUGCGUGUGAAGAACAUUCCCUCAAGAAUUGAAGUUUUGGAUGAUGAUGGCGCUGCUGCUUUAAGGAAGUUUUGCCUUACCUACUAUGAUAUUCGAGCUGUGAUUCUGGACUUAGCUCUCAAGCUUGAUAUGAUGAGGCAUUUAGAUUAUCUGCCUAGAUAUCAGCAACAAAUGCUGUCUCUUCAAGUUAUGAAGAUACAUGCCCCCUUGGCUCAUGUUGUUGGAACUAACUACUUGUCAUUGGAGCUGGAGGAUCUCUCAUUUCGCUACCUUUUCCCAUAUUCAUACCUCUAUGUGGAUACAUGGUUACGCAGCCAUCAGACAGAAAGUAAGCCUCUAAUUGAUAUAUACAUUGAAGAGCUGAAUCAAUCCCUAAAAGCUGAUCCUAUCUUAGCAGACAUGGUGGAGGACAUCUCCAUUAAAGGUCGCUCUAAAAGUCGGUUCAGCACAAUGAAGAAGCUCUUGAAAGAUGGUCGCAAGCCAGAGGAAGUAAAUGAUGUUCUAGGUUUACGAGUCAUACUCAAUCCCAGGUCUACAGAAAAUGUGUCAGAAUUAGGUGAAAAGGCAUGCUACAGGACACGUGAAAUUAUCCGAUCUUUGUGGAAAGAAAUGCCACACAGAACAAAAGACUAUAUUGCCAGGCCCAAAGCCAAUGGAUAUAGGAGCUUGCAUAUGGCAGUUGAUGUGAGUGACAAUGGCAAGUCUAGACCACUGAUGGAAAUUCAAAUAAGGACUAUGGAGAUGGACCUGCUGGCAGUUGAUGGAACAGCAUCACAUUCAUUAUACAAGGGUGGUCUUACUGAUCCAGAAGAGGCAAAGCGGCUCAAGGCUAUAAUGAUGGCAGCUGCUGAACUUGCAGCAUUGCGUCUUAGGGAUCUUCCAUCCGCUAAAGGUAUUGAGAUUGACCAGAGAGAUAGAGUAUUUCGUCUUUUGGACAAGAAUGGUGAUGGCCAGAUCAGCAUUGAGGAACUUAUGGAAGUGAUGGAAGAGCUUGGUGCCCCAGGGGAAGAUGCAAGGGAGAUGAUGCAGCUCCUUGAUGCAAAUAGUGAUGGUUCUCUGAGCUCUGACGAAUUUGAUACAUUUCAGAAACAGGUUGAAUUCAUGCGGGUUUUAGAGGACAGAGAUGAUGAAUGCAAGACCAUGCUGAAUAAGAAACUUAAAAUGGCAGAAGAUAGUGGCUUGAUUAAGGUAUGUGGCGAAGAGCUUGGCAACAGGCUUGCAAACUAGGAGCUGUUAAAUGCAGUACGUAAUGCCCUCUCACUUAAUUUUUCUUUAAAAAAGGGUAUAGGUUGCAACUGUAUUCCCAAAUAGGCUAAAGAGCCAUAACAUGAAAUAAAUUUCCAAGGAAAUUAGAAGAGUUUAUUCCCAAAUGGGAAAUUCUUGUAUAGAGUCGUCCAUCAUGGACUUAAAACAGACAUGUGUGGGGAAAUUUACUUGUAAAAUAAAUGAAAUUCGAAAUUCACGGUGUUUGUGUUCAUGAUGGAGGUAAGCAUAACUUGAAAUGAAUUCUCAAGGAAAUUGAAAGAAUGCAAGUAAUUAUUUAUUAGAGUUGGGAAUCCAGGCAGACAAACGAGAGAUGCAUGGAAUGGAGCUAAUAGAAGUUCCUUUCCUUGCUACUGAUCAUCCUCUAAAAGCAAGAAUCUGGAUGGAGAAUUGUUUGCCUUCUCCAUCUCAUCAACCCUAACAAGCACAUUCUUCUUAAGUUCUUCCAAGGAAGCCGCAUACUGCUCCAGCUCCUCCGAGUCCAUGCUCUCUACAGGAUCAUCCCACCAGAACGUGUCUCUUCCGGAGGCGGCUUCCUUCUCAUGAUCCUUGCUUAUGCUGUCUAACAGUUUCUUCUGAUGCUCCAACUUGGCAAGUGCCUCCAUGUAUUGCUUCCUGCUCUUCUCCACUUGGUCUGCGUUUACGUUCCCAUUGUUGUUAGAGUCAGAGAGACAGCGAUCUAUUACGUUGUCAACGGAGGGGUGACCAAAGGCAAAUGGUUUGCCGGCUGGGUAGAAGCCGACGACUGCCACCUCAGCUCCGCAAAGUACACAAAGCUCACCAGCCUUAUUGAGAAGACCUUGGCGCCGCUUUGCAAAAGUUACAUCUAGGGAUUGUUUUUUGGUUAUUUUCUUCAUCUCAAUCUUCCGGCGUCGUCCUUCAUUUGCCAUGGCCUUUUGCUUUAGUGGUUUUUUUCCUUCUUCUUAUGUAUAUAAAAAUAUAUAGAUAGAUAUUAUGGAAUAUCUCUCUAUUCAUAAAUUACUAUGAUUCCAAAUAUGGCAAUUUAAAUCCUUCUCAAAAGCACGAAAAAAAAA
RNAcentral lists this unclassified non-coding RNA (2826 nucleotides) under Hevea brasiliensis (rubber tree). The record is from RNAcentral. Lineage: Eukaryota; Viridiplantae; Streptophyta; Magnoliopsida; Malpighiales; Euphorbiaceae.